This 496-nucleotide ribosomal RNA is filed under the name uncultured Eubacteriales bacterium. Its description in RNAcentral is "uncultured Clostridiales bacterium partial 16S ribosomal RNA". Lineage: Bacteria; Bacillati; Bacillota; Clostridia; Eubacteriales. The record is from RNAcentral.
CACGUAGUUAGCCGGAGCUUCCUCCUUAGGUACUGUCCUUUUUCUUCCCUAACGACAAUAGUUUACAAUCCGAAGACCUUCUUCCUAUACGCGGCGUCCCUGCGUCAGAGUUUCCUCCAUUGCGCAAUAUUCCCGACUGCUGCCUCCCGUAGGAGUCUGGGCCGUAUCUCAGUCCCAAUGUGGCCGUUCAACCUCUCAGUCCGGCUACUGAUCGUUGACUUGGUAGGCCGUUACCCCACCAACUAUCUAAUCAGACGCGAGCCCAUCUAUUAGCGGAUUACUCCUUUCCCACUUCCAUCAUGUGAUGAUUAUGGCAUAUGCGGUAUUAGCAAUGAUUUCUCACUGUUAUUCCCCUCUAAUAGGCAGGUUGCUCACGCGUUACUCACCAGUCCGCCACUAAAGCCAUUGUUAUAAAAUUUCAAUCAGAUAAAUCUUCAAUUCAUUUUAUAACGACUUCCGUUCGACUUGCAUGUCUUAUGUGCGCCGCAGCGUUUAU